Molecule: transfer RNA, 83 nt
Filed under: Candidatus Omnitrophota bacterium
Lineage: Bacteria; Pseudomonadati; Candidatus Omnitrophota
Also listed under: 1 other name
Description: tRNA-Tyr
Rfam family: tRNA
About the family: Transfer RNA (tRNA) molecules are approximately 80 nucleotides in length. Their secondary structure includes four short double-helical elements and three loops (D, anti-codon, and T loops).
Source: RNAcentral
GGGCAGAUACCCAAGUGGCUAAAGGGGACAGACUGUAAAUCUGUUGCACUCGUGCUACGUAGGUUCGAAUCCUACUCUGCCCA